GACGAACGCUGGCGGCGUGCUUAACACAUGCAAGUCGAACGGAAAGGCCCUGCUUUUGUGGGGUGCUCGAGUGGCGAACGGGUGAGUAACACGUGAGUAACCUGCCCUUGACUUUGGGAUAACUUCAGGAAACUGGGGCUAAUACCGGAUCGGAGCUCCUGCUGCAUGGUGGGGGUUGGAAAGUUUCGGCGGUUGGGGAUGGACUCGCGGCUGAUCAGCUUGUUGGUGGGGUAGUGGCUUACCAAGGCUUUGACGGGUAGCCGGCCUGAGAGGGUGACCGGCCACCUGGGGACUGAGGUACGGCCCAGACUCCUACGGGAGGCAGCGGUGGGGAGUAUUGCACAAUGAGCGGAAGCCUGAUGCAGCAACGCCGCGUGCGGGAUGACGGCCUUCGGGUUGUAAACCGCUUUCGCCUGUGACGAAGCGUGAGUGACGGUAAUGGAUAAAGAAGCACCGGCUAACUACGUG
This 468-nucleotide ribosomal RNA is filed under the name uncultured bacterium. Its description in RNAcentral is "partial 16S ribosomal RNA". It matches the Rfam family "Bacterial small subunit ribosomal RNA", at positions 28 to 507 of the family's 1533-position model. The record is from RNAcentral.